This is a non-coding RNA of Agarivorans albus MKT 106, 382 nucleotides long. It matches the Rfam family "Bacterial RNase P class A". From Rfam's summary of the family: Ribonuclease P (RNase P) is a ubiquitous endoribonuclease, found in archaea, bacteria and eukarya as well as chloroplasts and mitochondria. Its best characterised activity is the generation of mature 5'-ends of tRNAs by cleaving the 5'-leader elements of precursor-tRNAs. Cellular RNase Ps are ribonucleoproteins. Lineage: Bacteria; Pseudomonadati; Pseudomonadota; Gammaproteobacteria; Alteromonadales; Alteromonadaceae. The record is from Rfam.
GGAGUUGGCUAGGCAAUCGCUGCUUCGUCGUUGUGCGCUCUUUCGGGAGUGGCAGACGGGCGAAGGGGAGGAAAGUCCGGGCUCUAUAGGGUAGGGUGCCAGGUAACGCCUGGGGGGCGCGAGCCCACGACAAGUGCAGCAGAGAGAAGACCGCCGAUGGCUCCUUGGAGUACAGGUAAGGCUGAAAGGGUGCGGUAAGAGCGCACCGCGCGUCUGGUAACAGUAUGCGGCGAGGUAAACUCCACCCAGAGCAAGGCCAAAUAGGCCCCCUUAAGGCGCGACCCGCGUUGGGGGCGGGUAGGCUGCUUGAGCCAUUAAGCGAUUAAUGGCCUAGACGAAUGAUUGUUCACGACAAAACCCGGCUUAUCGGCCAACUCCCUUU